UACGAAGGGGGCUAACGUUGCUCGGAAUCACUGGGCGUAAAGGGCGCGUAGGCGGCCAUUUAAGUCGGGGGUGAAAGCCUGUGGCUCAACCACAGAAUUGCCUUCGAUACUGGAUGGCUUGAGACCGGAAGAGGUAAGUGGAACUGCGAGUGUAGAGGUGAAAUUCGUAGAUAUUCGCAAGAACACCAGUGGCGAAGGCGGCUUACUGGUCCGGAUCUGACGCUGAGGCGCGAAAGCGUGGGGAGCAAACAGG
This 253-nucleotide ribosomal RNA is filed under the name uncultured bacterium. RNAcentral describes it as "partial 16S ribosomal RNA". It matches the Rfam family "Bacterial small subunit ribosomal RNA", at positions 524 to 776 of the family's 1533-position model. The record is from RNAcentral.